CGCUCUGCGAGCAGCACCCGUGGGGAGCUCAGUGACCUUCUCGCUCCCAUCAUCCCUUGGGCCACAGUUUCUAAAGCAGCCCCACAAACACUCACCUGAUUUCGGCGUCAGACCUAUGAGGCAGGUAGGGAGGGGUUCUUCCUAACAUCCUCAUCUUACAAAUGGAAACGGAGGCACAGGGAGGAAUUUCACUCUUGUUGCCCAGGCUGGAGUGCAAUGGCAAGAUCUCGGCUCACUGCAACCUCCGCCUCCCGGGUUCAAGCGAUUCUCCUGCCUCAGCCUCCCGUGUAGCUGGGACUACAGGGGGUCCCAUCCCUCCCCAUUGUCUUGAUGGGCAUCUGUAUGUUGACGGCCCUCUAAGGACGUUGUCACCCUUCUGAGCUCCCAAUUCACGUACCUGAGGUCGGCCUGAUGUUUCCACUUGCUUAUCUAAUGGACACACCCAACCCGAAAGGAACUCUUCACUUGUAACCUUAAACUGGUUAUUCUCCAGGAUGAUGGAUUCACACCUGCCUCGGCCAUGCACCCCAUCACAAAACCAGAAGCCUAGGAGUGCUCCUGUCAUCUUGAUUUUUCUCUCACAUCAGUGAUUCCAAAAUAAGGACUUAACCUGUGUGCUUCUCUUCUUCUCGCUGUCCCCACCCACCAGAGUCUCCCACCUGGACUGUUACCAUUGCCUCCUAACUGACCUUCCUACUUGCAUGCCUGUCAUCAUCUGCCCAUUUUCAACAUGCCUUCCAGAAGACAAAAUCUAUACUUAUCAGCUGAAGUUUGCAUAAAAUGCUCCAGUGCCUUCCACUUGCACCCAGGAUUCAAUCCAAAGCCCCUCCCAGGGCUGCCCAGGCUGUUUCCCCAACCUCCUUAGGGCCAUCUCCUCCUGGCUCCUACCCUCCUUGGCCCACUGCUGCCCCCGGAUCACACCCAGCUCCUCCCAGGACCUCAGCCCUGGCUGCUCCAGACCUUCCACUUGGUCCCUUGCCUUCUGUCAGUUCCCAAAGGUCAUCUUCCCAGAGAGACCCUCCCUGACCCUGGGUAAACUGCGUCUCCCUAUGCUGCUCCAGCCAGCACCCUGUUGACUCCCCUCACAAUGCUAACAAGCAUCUGCAUUCCAUUUGCAUUUGUGGUUGUUUGCUUGUUUGUUCUGUCUCCCCCACUAGACAUUCCAGGAAGGUGAGGCCAUGCCUUGCCAG
RNAcentral lists this long non-coding RNA (1190 nucleotides) under Homo sapiens (human). Its description in RNAcentral is "HSALNT0388241". The record is from RNAcentral. Lineage: Eukaryota; Metazoa; Chordata; Mammalia; Primates; Hominidae.